AGAGUUUGAUCCUGGCUCAGGAUGAACGCUGGCUACAGGCUUAACACAUGCAAGUCGAGGGGCAGCACGGGGCAGGCUUGCCUGCCCUGGUGGCGACCGGCGCACGGGUGAGUAACGCGUAUCCGACCUGCCGCGCACAGCCGGACAGUCUUGCGAAAGCAGGGUUAAUACGGCAUGGCCUCCCGGACGCGCAUGCGUUUGGGAGGAAAGGGUGAAUCCCGGUGUGCGAUGGGGAUGCGUCCCAUUAGCUGGUUGGCGGGGUAACGGCCCACCAAGGCGACGAUGGGUAGGGGUUCUGAGAGGAAGGUCCCCCACAUUGGAACUGAGACACGGUCCAAACUCCUACGGGAGGCAGCAGUGAGGAAUAUUGGUCAAUGGGCGGAAGCCUGAACCAGCCAAGUAGCGUGCAGGAAGACGGCCCUCAGGGUUGUAAACUGCUUUUGUGCGGGGAUAAAGUUCGCGACGAGUCGCGUUUUGCAGGUACCGCACGAAUAAGGACCGGCUAAUUCCGUGCCAGCAGCCGCGGUAAUACGGAAGGUCCGGGCGUUAUCCGGAAUUAUUGGGUUUAAAGGGAGCGUAGGCGGGAGGGCAAGUCAGCUGUGAAAUGCCGGGGCUCAACCUUGGAGUUGCAGUUGAAACUGUCCAUCUUGAGUGCGUGCAGGGGCGGUGGAAUUCGUGGUGUAGCGGUGAAAUGCAUAGAUAUCACGAAGAACUCCGAUCGCGAAGGCAGCCGCCCGGUGCGUGACUGACGCUGAGGCUCGAAGGUGUGGGUAUCAAACAGGAUUAGAUACCCUGGUAGUCCACACGGUAAACGUUGGAUACUCGCGGCGGGCCCGUUAGGGGUCCGCCGCCAAGCGAAAGUGUUAAGUAUCCCACCUGGGGAGUACGCCGGCAACGGUG
Molecule: ribosomal RNA, 900 nt
Filed under: human gut metagenome
Description: bacterial SSU rRNA
Rfam family: Bacterial small subunit ribosomal RNA
Source: RNAcentral